CAAGUUGAAGCAAACACCGAUUGUGAGAAAGAAAGGAGAGAAAGGAGAAGGAGAAGAAGAAGGAAAAAGAAGAAGAAAAAAAAGGUAAUGUAUUAUUUUAGUAAUUUAUUAUAAAAUUAUGGUGUUUUGUGAGUUUUUAGCAAUGUAAAUUUUAAAAAAAAAUUGUAUAGUUAUUUUGUUAGUAGUUUAUGAUUAGGUUAUAAAUUAUUAGUGUUUUGUAUUUUGUUAUAGUUAUUUGUUUUGUUAAUAAUUUAUGGGAUUAGGUUACAAAUUGUUAGUGU
This 281-nucleotide long non-coding RNA is filed under the name Gossypium barbadense (sea-island cotton). Its description in RNAcentral is "long non-coding RNA (GBAR_LNC001610)". The record is from RNAcentral. Lineage: Eukaryota; Viridiplantae; Streptophyta; Magnoliopsida; Malvales; Malvaceae.